GAAAUGCGAUAAGUAAUGUGAAUUGCAGAAUUCAGUGAAUCAUCGAAUCUUUGAACGCACAUUGCGCCCCUUGGUAUUCCAAAGGGCAUGCCUGUUUGAGCGUCAUUUGUACCUUCAAGCUUUGCUUGGUGUUGGGUGUUUGUCUCGCCUCUGCGCGCAGACUCGCCUCAAAACAAUUGGCAGCCGGCGUAUUGAUUUCGGAGCGCAGUACAUCUCGCGCUUUGCACUCAUAACGACGACGAUCCAAAAGUACAUUUUUACACUCUUGACCUCGGAUCAGGUAGGGAUACCCGCUGAACUUAA
RNAcentral lists this ribosomal RNA (303 nucleotides) under uncultured fungus. Its description in RNAcentral is "eukaryotic LSU rRNA". The stretch from base 1 to 105 matches the Rfam family "5.8S ribosomal RNA", at positions 50 to 154 of the family's 154-position model. The record is from RNAcentral. Lineage: Eukaryota; Fungi.